Long non-coding RNA from Anopheles stephensi (Asian malaria mosquito), 3437 nucleotides. RefSeq lists it as uncharacterized. NCBI's taxonomy places the organism in Eukaryota, Metazoa, Arthropoda, Insecta, Diptera, Culicidae. The transcript is spliced from 2 exons. The record is from RefSeq and is a predicted model, not a curated record.
UUCGUCCUGUAUUUUUCUGCCCCGUCCACAGCCAAGAUUGUAGAACCACAGCCACAACAAAAAGUGCCCACAUCAAGAUGAAAAGGGAAUCGUGUCACGCCGAACAAACACAGACCUCCGAACCUAACCAACGCUCAAGUGUUUCGCUGUGUCGUGCAAAGAGGAAGAAUUCGAACCAGUUUUCUCGUCACUCAAGUGGGCCGAACGAAAACGAAGCUAAAGGAAAACAGGCAAAACGGAAAGGAUAGACGAACGGUAAAGACGCUCAAGUACCCUUAUCGCUAGGUCGGAGGAACUUGAAAUCGAAGCCCUUGGCCGGGCGGGCUGCUGGGCGCAAAACGUUGGGAAAUAUGAUCAUCAUCAUGCAUAGCGAUUUCAGUUUCACCCGUAACGACACGACAGCCAGACAUGCCGGUUAGCUCGGCCGUUGUGUGGUGCAAUACGCGAUCCUUUUGGCCCCGGAACAGUGUUGCGCGAGAUGGAAAAUAAAUCACCAGCAGAAUAACAAACCUCCGUUGCCGGUUACAGCGUGAUCGCGAUCCUUUUUCAGCUAUGGAAAGCGUCUGCUCUGGGUUCUGUUCCGUGAUAAUUGGUUUCACAGACACGCCAGCAGAAACUGCGUACCAGGCACUGACUGCAGUACUGUAGAGACUGUGAGAAUCGGAACGCAGAACGAAGUCAACUUAUACGGGAAAGGAGGUAUUAGUAACACUAACUCAGAUGACGCCUCAUAUCCAGCGUGGUUGUGUCCAAGUCGUUGUGCUUUAAUAAUUUCGACGACGCUCCUGCAACCUAUACCGACAAAUCUAACGGAUAUAACGCGCUGUUUUAUAUGAUUCCAUUCAGUAUCAACACCGUGAUCAUGAAUAACUUUAUCAAUUCAAUUGACGUUAUUAAAAUUAGACUUCCAAGUUUCCAUUUAAGCGGUUGUAACAUGGUGAUGUAUGAAAGAUGUAUUGAUUACGGCGACGGCGAAUCAAUCCUUUUGGCUAUAAACAACUAUCGGCCGUUACGUAGGAUCUCUCUGUGUAGCAGGCACGCUGUUGUACCAUUGCUCGGCUGAAGAGCUCAAAGCGUAUAAUCCUCGGAAGCCCAGUAGCCAAUAGUUUUAUUUUGGAUCCCGGGUCAUUCGGGAAUCAACGGAAACGAAAAAGCCGACCGGCUGGCCAACGAAGAUCGGCUCCGUCCGGUCGAAGAACUACACAGCACUCUUUAACUCCGAAACGCCAUCCGCUUCACUAACGCAAUAGUCGCUCAACACUGGAACACCACCUGGCACAACCUAGACCUCUUCGACAAAACUUCGCUCAAUCAAGCACAACACCGCACCCUGGGACAAUCCCGAUGCCAGCCAAAUGCAACGUGUCCUUUCCCGCCUACGCAUCGAUCAUACCCGUUUGACACACUCCUACCUUCUCGAAAGAUCCAGUCCGCCACUUUGGAGCUUCUGUGGCGUCUGCCAACUGUAUAUCAACCUAGCCAUCACACUAUAACCCGACAAACAACAGCAGGACCACCACAUUCGAUUAAGGCAUCAGCAACCGGUACCGAGAGCUAUAAAUUCAUAGCGCAAUAGUUUUUACAUUACACGUACCAUACCAGUUAAGCAAUAGUUAAGCCAUACAAUCAAUAGUUUUACCACACAUGUAACAAUAGACAGAAAAGAGGUGAAUGAAGACUCAAAGACCCAAAGCCUCUAUAAGCAAACGAAAAAAAGCCCAGUAGCAACGUAGAGCAAACCUAUACCUAGAUAGACUCCAGACGCGUCGUUGAUCUAGCAUCCACAGCUGAUCUAACAAACGAGCUGUAGAGCAUUUGACCCGACGUUGGGUUUCACAGAUCCCGCUCUAGAUGCUUGACCUGUAUGCUCCAGAUAGUCGUGGAAGCUCAAGUUAUCAUCAAAGAGCACUCCAUGGUGAACGCUACGUCAGUUUACGUUCGUGGACAGUACUAUUCAGCUCAUAAACAUACAGCAGGGAGUCACUCUUUCUGGAGAAAGUUAUUGCUUCGAACUUCAUGACGCGUAACACAAGGCUAUUUGCAGAACAUCAAGACUGAACUUUCUCCUAUUAGUUGUGAAUCAGUAAAACAAAAAUAGUGUCAUGAUUGUUUAUAAGAGAGAUACGGCUCGAGAAAAUUCUCGUAAGGUCACAAAGGUAGAACUGGUAGAGUCGUGGUCCAAGGAUACUAUCUUGUUACAGCCCUGAACAAGCAUUAAUGCUGCGCGAAGAGUGGGGACUCACAUUCACGCAAUAUUUUCGAUUGCUUGCUGCGAGCACGUGAAAUUUGUGAAGUUUGAUUUGUAAAAAGCGGCUUUGGAAUCCGUGUUUUCAGCUUCGAUCAAACUGUAGUCGAAAAUCUACAACUUGAGAUAGAUAAGACAACUUCAAAUUAGAACCUAUACGUUUGGCCGUGGCAAUCGUGUUGAGAAAUCAAAAGAGCGAUCAAACUAGUUGAGAGCUGAAAGCGAUCCAAAUAGUUUAAACACAUAGCUUAAAAUUGAUCAAGAGCCCAUGUAUAAGUUCUGCAUCGAUCAGUUCUUAAUUGAGAAUUACAAGGUGGUAGCACCUAGGUGGAAGUUUAGUAUAGUAUCUCGGGUACAUCACGGGAUGGGUUGUCCGGUGCCAUUUUCAUGGCUUGAUAAGCUCAUCAAAGUCAGCUUUGUCUAAUUCACUGUAUAAUGUUAAGAUCUUCGUACAGUGCGUAGGGCUCAUAAUUGCAGCGGACUGAAAAUGCUUCCAACUUUCUUUUACAGCGAUAUAUAGAGUCCAUGUGUCAGUGGAGUAGGUGCGCACUAUAAAAUGACAUUGGAAAUAUUGUAUAACGUGGUUGGUAGCGAGUACGAGCUGCCUAUGACAUCACACAAAUCAUUAUUCCUGCCAUACGGUACACGAAAUGUAUACUUCAUCGUUUCAGUGUGCGUAAAUAAAAAACAAAUCAAAUCCAGCAUGUACUGCUGUUAAUUGUACUUUUUAUCGCCCAGCUUACCUACCACUGACAGUCGGGUGGACGAAAUCUACCUGCGCAUCCACUGUAUGUCACUUUAAAUACUAUGCUAAUUAUUUUCCAAUGUUUCAACAUGAGCCAACGUGAAUCUUCAUGCCAGAUUGAUACCGCAAAUGAUAUACCGCAGAUAGCGGUGGAGAAAAAAACGGACGCACGCACAUAUAUUUCACCAGCUCCAGCCAGUUUUACACACCGCAGCCUAGAGCUGGGAACUGGGAAAUCCUCGGUCGAAAAAAAAACAAACCAACCAAAGUAGAGCGGAAAAAUAACCGAACACCGAUCAACUGGUCAACCAAAUGUGGCAUGUGGUAAUGUGGCAAACAGGAAAAUCAAAAGCCAAGCACAAGAGUCCACGCCGCACAUAGGUAAAACACAAAACUUGGACACACUGGCGGAAGCAAAAAAAAAAAGCGAAAACAGUAGGAAAAAAA